UGUUAAAUUCGCAAUUUCGUUACAUUUUUUCGGGGUUUUCCAGGAAUUGAACGAGAAAGUGUAAAUGCUGGUUCUGAUGAUAAACAAACUUGAAGCAUCGUAAUUUGUGACCAAAAAUGGUCACUCGGAGUUUCUCGGAGUAAUAAUAAUCGAGACCAGUGCGCUGUGCAGGAUUUUUGUAUCCAACCGGCCAAUAUGGGUGGCAUUCCAGUACUGUCCCUACCGAUUCGGCUUUCGGAACGAGGUCCAAUAAGUUUGCAACUAAUGGGACCCAGUUUUUCGGAGCAGCAAUUAUUUCAAUCAGCACGUUGGAUAGAAAAAGAAGUUGAAGAUUUUUUAGAAAAGUAUGAUUUUAAUAUAAAUAUAAUAAACAAAUAAAGUUGAAUUUUAGUUGAAUUGUUUGGUUUGUUGAAUUUUGUUUUUCGGGUCCAUUUGUUAGGAAAUAUAAGUGCCCGGCGUUUUGAAAGCAAAAUCGAGCUUAAUUCGAAAAUAUAUUCUUAUCUGAACUUAUUUUAUUCAA
Uranotaenia lowii is the source of this 520-nucleotide long non-coding RNA. RefSeq lists it as uncharacterized. The transcript has 2 exons. NCBI's taxonomy places the organism in Eukaryota, Metazoa, Arthropoda, Insecta, Diptera, Culicidae. The record is from RefSeq and is a predicted model, not a curated record.